RNAcentral lists this ribosomal RNA (494 nucleotides) under Bdellovibrio bacteriovorus. RNAcentral describes it as "bacterial SSU rRNA". It matches the Rfam family "Bacterial small subunit ribosomal RNA", at positions 212 to 720 of the family's 1533-position model. The record is from RNAcentral. Lineage: Bacteria; Pseudomonadati; Bdellovibrionota; Bdellovibrionia; Bdellovibrionales; Pseudobdellovibrionaceae.
UUUUCGCUCUAAGAUGAGUCCGCGUAAGAUUAGCUAGUUGGUGAGGUAAUGGCUCACCAAGGCGACGAUCUUUAACUGGUCUGAGAGGAUGAUCAGUCACACUGGAACUGAGACACGGUCCAGACUCCUACGGGAGGCAGCAGUAGGGAAUAUUGCACAAUGGAGGAAACUCUGAUGCAGCGACGCCGCGUGAGUGAUGAAGGCCUUCGGGUCGUAAAGCUCUGUCGCAGGGGAAUAACACAAUGAAUGUACCCUGUAAGAAAGGAUCGGCUAACUUCGUGCCAGCAGCCGCGGUAAGACGAGGGAUCCUAGCGUUGUUCGGAAUUAUUGGGCGUAAAGCGGAUGUAGGUGGCUUUGUAAGUCAGAUGUGAAAGCCCAGGGCUCAACCCUGGAAGUGCAUUUGAUACUGCGAAGCUUGAGUGUCGGAGAGGUUACUAGAAUUGUUGGUGUAGUGGUGAAAUACGUAGAUAUCAACAGGAAUACCGGAGGCGAAA